This 311-nucleotide ribosomal RNA is filed under the name uncultured bacterium. RNAcentral's name for it is "bacterial SSU rRNA". It matches the Rfam family "Bacterial small subunit ribosomal RNA", at positions 28 to 334 of the family's 1533-position model. The record is from RNAcentral.
GACGAACGCUGGCGGCGCGCCUAACACAUGCAAGUCGAACGAGCGAGAGAGAGCUUGCUUUCUCGAGCGAGUGGCGAACGGGUGAGUAACGCGUGAGGAACCUGCCUCAAAGAGGGGGACAACAGUUGGAAACGACUGCUAAUACCGCAUAAGCCCACAGGUCGGCAUCGACCAGAGGGAAAAGGAGCAAUCCGCUUCAGGAUGGACUCGCGUCCAAUUAGCUAGUUGGUAAGGUAACGGCUUACCAAGGCAACGAUCAGUAGCCGACCUGAGAGGGUGACCGGCCACAUUGGGACUGAGACACGGCCCAA